GACAGAGGGUGCAAACGUUGCUCGGAAUUACUGGGCGUAAAGCGCGUGUAGGCGGGCUGAUAAGUCGGAUGUGAAAUCCCUGAGCUCAACUCAGGAACUGCAUUCGAAACUGUCAGUCUUGAGUAGUGGAGAGGAAAGCAGAAUUCCUGGUGUAGGGGUGAAAUUCGUAGAUAUCAGGAGGAACACCGGUGGCGAAGGCGGCUUUCUGGACACUUACUGACGCUGAGACGCGAAAGCGUGGGGAGCAAACAGG
This 253-nucleotide ribosomal RNA is filed under the name uncultured bacterium. RNAcentral's name for it is "partial 16S ribosomal RNA". It matches the Rfam family "Bacterial small subunit ribosomal RNA", at positions 524 to 776 of the family's 1533-position model. The record is from RNAcentral.